This is a long non-coding RNA of Pipistrellus kuhlii (Kuhl's pipistrelle), 1967 nucleotides long. RefSeq lists it as uncharacterized. The record is from RefSeq and is a predicted model, not a curated record. Lineage: Eukaryota; Metazoa; Chordata; Mammalia; Chiroptera; Vespertilionidae. The transcript is spliced from 3 exons.
AAAUAAGGUUAAAAGUAAGAGGACUUAACUUUUGAGAAUAUUAAAGUACAAGAAACAAUGUUUAUUGUGGGAAUACUUGCACAUCCCUAAUUUCCUGGAGUCUGAGGUUAUAUUGGCCACUCACAAAAAGAACAAGGGGCAAAGCCUGGGACCCCAACAAGUGAGAAAACAAAAACAAGCCCCAGAAAAUGAGUAUUGACCCAUAGAUAUCAAGGAUAUCAAGUGAACUCAACCAUGGUUCUGAGUACCAAGGGGUCAAAGCAAAAUGAACAAUAUAUAGGUGUCCCCCAAAGUGUAUAGACUCUGAUUGCUCAUAUGUUUCUUUCUUUUCAGAUUUAACCCAUAGAAUUAAUAAUUAUUCAAAAUAUGUAUACAUUUUUGGGUGACCCUGUGUAUAUUGUAGCCUUAUAGUGCAAAGCCUGUGGAGGUCUCCUAUUUCUGUGUACUGAGUGCCUGUAAUAUUCUGUUUCUUGAUUAGAUGCUGACCUCACAAGUAUGUGUAGUUUGUGAAAAUAUACUGAGCUGUCACUUUUGAUCUGUGCAUAUUUUUUAGGGGCCUUUUAUACUUCAAUAAAAUGCCUACAAAAUCAUAUCUAUUAGGUGACUUUCCCCCAAACUCAUAAGGUGAACAUUUGCUGUAAUUUGUGGGGGGUAGUCGAGUUCCACAUCCCUGGCAGAAAAAAAAUGCAAAUUUUCUUUGAAGAAAUGUAAAUUAAACUCAGAAUUUUCACAAAUUCUUCUAAGAAUUAAUAAAUACAAGAGGGAGUGAGCCACCAGGUGAGAACAGAGCACCGUACGUAUUUCAGAAUCACACCAACAAUGACAGUUAAUGCUGGAAUUAUCAGAGGACAACUAUGAAAUAAGUGUGAUGGGUAUGUUUGAAAGUGUGAUGAAGUAGGGAAUAUCAAUAUUGCACUUAUUAGUAAAGAUCCAAAUGGUAGUUCUAGAAAUGUAAAAUAAAAUUUAAAUUAGAAAAUCAAUAGCUUUAAAAAAUAUGUAAUUUUAAAUGUCUACUAGACACAAGAAAAAGUGGAAAUAAACAAGUGAAAUUAAUUUUAAUUACAUUUAACCCAAUAAAUUAAAAAUAUUACCCUUUUAACAUCCAAUCAAUACAAGAUUAUUAAUGAGAUAAUUUACUUUUUUCAUACAAGUCUUUGACAUUUAGAAUGCGUUUUAUACUAAAAGCAUAUCAAUCUGGAAUAGUUACUCUUAAUCUAUUCUGUAUACACACACUGUACUUACAGUUUUCUGCUGUGUGUAGAUGGGCAUGGGUCCAAGAAGAAGCAAAACUGUUUAUUUAAAUUCCUAUGUAAUGUUAAUUUAAUUGAACAGAUGUGUUUACUUUAUUGAACCAUUUUCCUACUGAGAGAUAUUUUGUUUAUUUUUCAUAUUUCAAAUAAGUCUGCAAGGAGCAGCAUUUAUUCAAAAUCUAUUUGCAUGUGUGUAUUUCCAAGGCAUAGAGUUUAGAUAUGGACUUGCUAUACAAUGGAUGGCUUUAAUAGCAGAUUAGGCACAAUUGAAUGCUACUUAGUGAACUGGAAAAGAGAUCUGAAAAAAAAAUACCCAGAAUGCAGUACAGAGAGACUAGGGAAGGGAAGAUUAAGACACAUAAAGAACACAGUUAUACGUGUUAAAACAAAGACAAAAGAAAGACAGGGAGUAGAAAUGUUUCUAAAGAUAAUACCUAAGAUGUCUCUAGAAUUAAUUAAAAAAAAAAUCCACAACAAAACAGCAGUUUCCAAUUAAAACGACCCAAUGAAUCCCAAGGAAAAUAAAUGAAAAGAAACAAAAUAGAUCCAGAGACAGAAAAACAUGGAACAGAAUUAUGAAUCUCCAAGGGAAGGUGGGGGUGGGUGGGUGGGUGAGGAGAGAUUAAUCAGGGAACUUACAUGCUUAUAUGCACAGUCAUGGACACCAACAAUAGUGUGGUGGAGGCCUGGGUGUGGGAUGGAGGAGUUAGGGGGGGG